AGAGUUUGAUCAUGGCUCAGAUUGAACGCUGGCGGCAGGCCUAACACAUGCAAGUCGAGCGGUAGCACAGAGAGCUUGCUCUCGGGUGACGAGCGGCGGACGGGUGAGUAAUGUCUGGGAAACUGCCUGAUGGAGGGGGAUAACUACUGGAAACGGUAGCUAAUACCGCAUAACGUCGCAAGACCAAAGUGGGGGACCUUCGGGCCUCAUGCCAUCAGAUGUGCCCAGAUGGGAUUAGCUAGUAGGUGGGGUAACGGCUCACCUAGGCGACGAUCCCUAGCUGGUCUGAGAGGAUGACCAGCCACACUGGAACUGAGACACGGUCCAGACUCCUACGGGAGGCAGCAGUGGGGAAUAUUGCACAAUGGGCGCAAGCCUGAUGCAGCCAUGCCGCGUGUGUGAAGAAGGCCUUCGGGUUGUAAAGCACUUUCAGCGGGGAGGAAGGCGUUAAGGUUAAUAACCUCAGCGAUUGACGUUACCCGCAGAAGAAGCACCGGCUAACUCCGUGCCAGCAGCCGCGGUAAUACGGAGGGUGCAAGCGUUAAUCGGAAUUACUGGGCGUAAAGCGCACGCAGGCGGUCUGUCAAGUCGGAUGUGAAAUCCCCGGGCUCAACCUGGGAACUGCAUUCGAAACUGGCAGGCUAGAGUCUUGUAGAGGGGGGUAGAAUUCCAGGUGUAGCGGUGAAAUGCGUAGAGAUCUGGAGGAAUACCGGUGGCGAAGGCGGCCCCCUGGACAAAGACUGACGCUCAGGUGCGAAAGCGUGGGGAGCAAACAGGAUUAGAUACCCUGGUAGUCCACGCCGUAAACGAUGUCGAUUUGGAGGUUGUGCCCUUGAGGCGUGGCUUCCGGAGCUAACGCGUUAAAUCGACCGCCUGGGGAGUACGGCCGCAAGGUUAAAACUCAAAUGAAUUGACGGGGGCCCGCACAAGCGGUGGAGCAUGUGGUUUAAUUCGAUGCAACGCGAAGAACCUUACCUGGUCUUGACAUCCACAGAACUUAGCAGAGAUGCUUUGGUGCCUUCGGGAACUGUGAGACAGGUGCUGCAUGGCUGUCGUCAGCUCGUGUUGUGAAAUGUUGGGUUAAGUCCCGCAACGAGCGCAACCCUUAUCCUUUGUUGCCAGCGGUCCGGCCGGGAACUCAAAGGAGACUGCCAGUGAUAAACUGGAGGAAGGUGGGGAUGACGUCAAGUCAUCAUGGCCCUUACGACCAGGGCUACACACGUGCUACAAUGGCAUAUACAAAGAGAAGCGACCUCGCGAGAGCAAGCGGACCUCAUAAAGUAUGUCGUAGUCCGGAUUGGAGUCUGCAACUCGACUCCAUGAAGUCGGAAUCGCUAGUAAUCGUAGAUCAGAAUGCUACGGUGAAUACGUUCCCGGGCCUUGUACACACCGCCCGUCACACCAUGGGAGUGGGUUGCAAAAGAAGUAGGUAGCUUAACCUUCGGGAGGGCGCUUACCACUUUGUGAUUCAUGACUGGGGUGAAGUCGUAACAAGGUAACCGUAGGGGAACCUGCGGUUGGAUCACCU
This 1528-nucleotide ribosomal RNA is filed under the name Klebsiella pneumoniae. Its description in RNAcentral is "bacterial SSU rRNA". It matches the Rfam family "Bacterial small subunit ribosomal RNA". Lineage: Bacteria; Pseudomonadati; Pseudomonadota; Gammaproteobacteria; Enterobacterales; Enterobacteriaceae. The record is from RNAcentral.